GGGAUUGCCUUAGUAACGGCGAGUGAAGCGGCAAUAGCUCAAAUUUGAAAGCUGGCGUCUUCGACGUCCGCGUUGUAAUUUGUAGAGGAUGCUUCGGCGAAGACUCCUGCCUAAGUCCCCUGGAACGGGGCGUCAUAGAGGGUGAGAAUCCCGUAUGUGGCGGGCAGUCUAAGCCAUGUGAAGCUCCUUCGACGAGUCGAGUUGUUUGGGAAUGCAGCUCUAAAUGGGAGGUAAAUUUCUUCUAAAGCUAAAUAUUGGCCAGAGACCGAUAGCGCACAAGUAGAGUGAUCGAAAGAUGAAAAGCACUUUGGAAAGAGAGUUAAAAAGUACGUGAAAUUGUUGAAAGGGAAGCGCUUGCAACCAGACUCGCUCGUAGUUGCUCAGCCGGCCUCUUGGCCGGUGUACUCUUCUACGAUCGGGCCAGCAUCAGUUCGGGCGGCAGGAUAAAGGUGUCGGGAAUGUAGCACCCUUCGGGGUGUGUUAUAGCCCGGCGCGGAAUGCUGCCAGCCUGGACUGAGGAUCUCGCUUCGGCAAGGAUGCUGGCGUAAUGGUUGUAAGCGGCCCGUCUUGAAACACGGACCAAGGAGUCUAACAUCUAUGCGAGUGUUUGGGUGUCAAACCCAUGCGCGUAAUGAAAGUGAACGGAGGUGGGAACCCCUCACGGGGUGCACCAUCGACCGAUCCUGAUGUCUUCGGAUGGAUUUGAGUAAGAGCAUAGCUGUUGGGACCCGAAAGAUGGUGAACUAUGCCUGAAUAGGGUGAAGCCAGAGGAAACUCUGGUGGAGGCUCGCAGCGGUUCUGACGUGCAAAUCGAUCGUCAAAUUUGGGUAUAGGGGCGAAAG
Molecule: ribosomal RNA, 842 nt
Filed under: Phyllosticta capitalensis
Lineage: Eukaryota; Fungi; Ascomycota; Dothideomycetes; Botryosphaeriales; Phyllostictaceae
Also listed under: 1 other name
Description: LSU rRNA
Rfam family: Eukaryotic large subunit ribosomal RNA
Source: RNAcentral